AGAGUUUGAUCCUGGCUCAGGAUGAACGCUAGCUACAGGCUUAACACAUGCAAGUCGAGGGGCAGCAUGGUCUUAGCUUGCUAAGGCCGAUGGCGACCGGCGCACGGGUGAGUAACACGUAUCCAACCUGCCGUCUACUCUUGGACAGCCUUCUGAAAGGAAGAUUAAUACAAGAUGGCAUCAUGAGUCCGCAUGUUCACAUGAUUAAAGGUAUUCCGGUAGACGAUGGGGAUGCGUUCCAUUAGAUAGUAGGCGGGGUAACGGCCCACCUAGUCUUCGAUGGAUAGGGGUUCUGAGAGGAAGGUCCCCCACAUUGGAACUGAGACACGGUCCAAACUCCUACGGGAGCAGCA
This 353-nucleotide ribosomal RNA is filed under the name uncultured bacterium. RNAcentral's name for it is "bacterial SSU rRNA". It matches the Rfam family "Bacterial small subunit ribosomal RNA", at positions 8 to 353 of the family's 1533-position model. The record is from RNAcentral.